GUUUCUGUAGUUGAGGUUAAACAACAGCGGCUUUUCAGGCCGCGGGUCUUGGAGAGAAGCCAAGCAGGAACU
RNAcentral lists this transfer RNA (72 nucleotides) under Sterna hirundo (Common tern). RNAcentral describes it as "tRNA-Glu". Lineage: Eukaryota; Metazoa; Chordata; Aves; Charadriiformes; Laridae. The record is from RNAcentral.